ACGGUUUGAGUCAGCGGGGCCUGACGGCCAUAAAAGCAGCCAGUAGAGGCCGUUGUCCAAGAAGAGCAGCUUGGGGUGCAGAGAGGGGAGGUCCCCAAACCUCAAAGGCGUGUGGGCGGAAGAUCAAUGCAGUCAGGUCCAGAGGGGUGUGUGCCAGGGGCAGGAGCGAGGCGGUGCUGCUCGGGGUGGACACGGAGCUGUGACGACGCUGGUUUUCUAGAUUCCUGCUAUGAAUGAGACUAUCCGGUAUUUUUCUUUUUCUUUCUGGCUUAUUUCACUGAGCAUGAUCCCUUCCAGCUCCAUCCAUGUUGCUGCAAAUUGCAUGAGUUUAUCUUUUUUGAUUGCUGAGUAAUAUUCCAUUGUGUAUAUAUACCACAUCAUCAAAAUCAACAAGCAACUAUAAA
This is a long non-coding RNA of Talpa occidentalis (Iberian mole), 404 nucleotides long. RefSeq lists it as uncharacterized. The record is from RefSeq and is a predicted model, not a curated record. Lineage: Eukaryota; Metazoa; Chordata; Mammalia; Eulipotyphla; Talpidae. The transcript is spliced from 3 exons.